CAAUAGCGAAUCUUAAUGUUGUUGCUAUUAAAAAGCUCGUAGUCGAAUUUCUGGCCGGGAAAAGCCGAUCUAACCGCGCUGCUCCUAGGUCAUCCGUCUUUGAGGGCAUGUAGGUAUUUGUUUAUCUCGUGUCGGAUCUGGCAUUUUACUUUGAAAAAAUUAGAGUGUUCAAAGCAGGCAUUGGCUUGAAUACAUUAGCAUGGAAUAAUAGAAUAGGACUUUGGUUCUAUUUUGUUGGUUUCUAGGACCGAAGUAAUGAUUAAUAGGGACAGUUGGGGGCAUUAGUAUUUAAUUGUCAGAGGUGAAAUUCUUGGAUUUAUGAAAGACUAACUACUGCGAAAGCAUUUGCCAAGGAUGUUUUCAUUAAUCAAGAACGAAAGUUAGGGGAUCGAAGACGAUUAGAUACCAU
This 409-nucleotide ribosomal RNA is filed under the name uncultured eukaryote. Its description in RNAcentral is "bacterial SSU rRNA". It matches the Rfam family "Eukaryotic small subunit ribosomal RNA", at positions 592 to 1018 of the family's 1831-position model. The record is from RNAcentral.